Molecule: ribosomal RNA, 434 nt
Filed under: uncultured Lachnospiraceae bacterium
Lineage: Bacteria; Bacillati; Bacillota; Clostridia; Lachnospirales; Lachnospiraceae
Description: partial 16S ribosomal RNA
Rfam family: Bacterial small subunit ribosomal RNA
Source: RNAcentral
ACGGAAGGCAGCAGUGGGGAAUAUUGCACAAUGGGCGAGAGCCUGAUGCAGCGACGCCGCGUGAGUGAAGAAGUAUUUCGGUAUGUAAAGCUCUAUCAGCAGGGAAGAAAAUGACGGUACCUGACUAAGAAGCUCCGGCUAAAUACGUGCCAGCAGCCGCGGUAAUACGUAUGGAGCAAGCGUUAUCCGGAUUUACCGGGUGUAAAGGGAGCGUAGACGGUAUGGUAAGUCUGAAGUGAAAGCUCGAGGCUCAACUUCGGAACUGCUUUGGAAACUAUCAUACUAGAGUGCAGGAGAGGCAAGUGGAAUUCCUAGUGUAGCGGUGAAAUGCGUAGAUAUUAGGAGGAACACCAGUGGCGAAGGCGGCUUACUGGACAAUAACUGACGCUGAGGCUCGAAAGCGUGGGGAGCAAACAGGAUUAGAUACCCUGGUA